Leopardus geoffroyi (Geoffroy's cat) is the source of this 694-nucleotide long non-coding RNA. RefSeq lists it as uncharacterized. The transcript is spliced from 3 exons. NCBI's taxonomy places the organism in Eukaryota, Metazoa, Chordata, Mammalia, Carnivora, Felidae. The record is from RefSeq and is a predicted model, not a curated record.
CCCCUUGACGGACGUGUUCCGAUCAGAGCUGUCUGCCCCACGGGAAAAGAAUCGGCUUUCUAUCAAGUGGACUCUGGGCAUCGCCCCAGAGAGCUGCAGCUCCAAAGGACCCGGAGAGACCCCCAGACGACCGAGAGGGGCUGACGUGGAGUGUCCCCCGCCUGGAUGGCAUCCCUGGAAAAGGCUGGAGUGUUUCUACAGAGGCUGUUCAGACAUCACAUCACAGUCCCAGACGGCCGAGAGGUUCUUGCACUCACUUGGCUGCCCUCCCUGGGAAAUGCUUUGGAUCAGACAGCACUUCUGGGUUGUUUUUGCCUGAGGAAAGUGGCUCACAGCAUCACCCUCACCCUUGCUCUGAGAAACCGUCAUGAAUUCAAUGCAGCUUUGGAAAGGAAGGAAUGUGGCAAAUCCCUAAUCACACCUCACCUUUAAAUACGGUCUUUGACCAUAUUAGGACCAGAAUUUCAUAUAUGUUCCCUAAUUUAUUCUUUUCCUUCACAACUGAACACACAGGCGACUGGCUUGAAUCCAGGGCGCGUUUGAUCGAGGCUACAUAUUCCCCCACUUUCGGCACGCCUAAUGAUUUCCAUCUUUGUCUCAAUUGUGUUUAUGAGACCUGCCCUUAUCGCCGGCAUCGGCGCUUCAUUUUUCCAUUUUCCACUCAUUCUUAUAAAAUAACAAGGUCAAAAUGCAA